Long non-coding RNA from Anguilla anguilla (European eel), 657 nucleotides. RefSeq lists it as uncharacterized. The transcript has 4 exons. The record is from RefSeq and is a predicted model, not a curated record. NCBI's taxonomy places the organism in Eukaryota, Metazoa, Chordata, Actinopteri, Anguilliformes, Anguillidae.
CGUUGACUCUGCCCCCGUGGCAAAGGCCCGCACCCCGCCGCGGCUGCUCCCCGCUGCCGCUCGCUGGCCUGUUACCUGCUCAUCUCCUCCGUGCGUGCGGCGCACCUGUCGCCACUAGCCGGGUUCCAGAGGGCAGGAGCGGUUUUGUAACCAGAGUAAGAGGGCAGCAUUGGGUCCAGGAAAGCCGAAGUAGAGGAACUGAGACUGCUUCCUGUAUCCAGAGUGAGGACUGUCCACAGGCACAGCAUUCCAGAGAAGGGUAUAGGUGCGUAAAGGAAAGGGAAACGCAGCCUGAUAGCCUGUAUCUUCCUGAAGUUACAGAGGAUAACAGACAGUAACUUUACAUAACGGCGGUAUCAGUCCCUUUACAGUUGUUUGCAGAAAGAAGAUUUAAAAAAUAUUUGCAUUCCAGCCCAGCUUAUGUUCCUCAUGUGUCAGGGAACACACAUGAGGUCUAGUGAUGGAAGACUGACAACAACACGGAGCCACUGCAAACAAGACUAUCCAGGUACAUCUGUGUAGAGAUGUCAACUGACCUUGACCUCACCGGUUUAGAACAGUUUGUUCCUUCCUUGCCGAAAAACCAGGGCCACUUGCUGUAAGUGUUUAGAGGAGCGUUAAAGACAACCCUUAAACCAAGCAACCUCUAUUGAGCAU